GAUGAACGCUGGCGGCGUGCCUAAUACAUGCAAGUCGAGCGAACAGACGAGGAGCUUGCUCCUCUAACGUUAGCGGCGGACGGGUGAAUAACACGUGGAUAACCUACCUAUAAGACUGGGAUAACUUCGGGAAACCGGAGCUAAUACCGGAUAAUAUAUUGAACCGCAUGGUUCAAUAGUGAAAGACGGUUUUGCUGUCACUUAUAGAUGGAUCCGCGCCGCAUUAGCUAGUUGGUAAGGUAACAGCUUACCAAGGCAACGAUGCGUAGCCGACCUGAGAGGGUGAUCGGCCACACUGGAACUGAGACACGGUCCAGACUCCUACGGGAGGCAGCAGUAGGGAAUCUUCCGCAAUGGGCGAAAGCCUGACGGAGCAACGCCGCGUGAGUGAUGAAGGUCUUCGGAUCGUAAAACUCUGUUAUUAGGGAAGAACAAAUGUGUAAGUAACUAUGCACGUCUUGACGGUACCUAAUCAGAAAGCCACGGCUAACUACGUG
RNAcentral lists this ribosomal RNA (497 nucleotides) under uncultured bacterium. Its description in RNAcentral is "partial 16S ribosomal RNA". It matches the Rfam family "Bacterial small subunit ribosomal RNA", at positions 28 to 507 of the family's 1533-position model. The record is from RNAcentral.